UAUGUUAAUAGCAUAUCAUUUGACGUUAGCUGCAGAAGAAGCACCGGCUAACUCCGUGCCAGCAGCCGCGGUAAUACGGAGGGUGCGAGCGUUAAUCGGAAUUACUGGGCGUAAAGCGCAUGCAGGUGGUUUGUUAAGUCAGAUGUGAAAGCCCGGGGCUCAACCUCGGAAUUGCAUUUGAAACUGGCAAACUAGAGUACUGUAGAGGGGGUAGAAUUUCAGGUGUAGCGGUGAAAUGCGUAGAGAUCUGAAGGAAUACCGGUGGCGAAGGCGGCCCCCUGGACAGAUACUGACACUCAGAUGCGAAAGCGUGGGGAGCAAACAGGAUUAGAUACCCUGGUAG
Molecule: ribosomal RNA, 343 nt
Filed under: uncultured bacterium
Lineage: Bacteria
Description: bacterial SSU rRNA
Rfam family: Bacterial small subunit ribosomal RNA
Source: RNAcentral